CCUCCUUAACGAUAAAUUCGCGUUUUAAACGCCCACACGAGUAAUCAAAUAUUAAGAAGAAGAACAUUUAGUUAUGUAAAAUCAUUGGUAUGUAAUUUUCUAGUGUAUACAUUUAUGUAUACAUAAGAUCACUGCAAUUAAAAAGUAACGCAUGCAUUUAUGUGUGCGUUAAAAAAGUAAUUAAUAUAUUUUAUUAAGUUACUCUCAAAAUGAAGAUAAAACUUCAAUAAAAAAUAAUAACCUUUUUUAAGGUUAUAUGAUCAAGUAAAGGAAGAGCACAAGGCGGAUGCCUUGGCAGCAUAAGGCGAUGAAGGACGUAAUAACCUGCGAUAAGCCUCGGGGAGCUGGUAAAUAAGCUUCGAUCCGAGGAUUUCCGA
RNAcentral lists this unclassified non-coding RNA (377 nucleotides) under uncultured SAR86 cluster bacterium. Its description in RNAcentral is "partial 16S-23S ribosomal RNA intergenic spacer". The stretch from base 259 to 377 matches the Rfam family "Bacterial large subunit ribosomal RNA", at positions 1 to 117 of the family's 2925-position model. Lineage: Bacteria; Pseudomonadati; Pseudomonadota; Gammaproteobacteria. The record is from RNAcentral.